AUAACGACUCUCGACAACGGAUAUCUCGGCUCUCGCAUCGAUGAAGAACGUAGCUAAACGCGAUACUUGGUGUGAAUUACAGAAUCCCGUGAAUCAUCGAGUCUUUGAACGCAAGUUGCGCCCGAAGCCAUUAGGCCGAGGGCACGUCUGCCUGGGCGUCACGC
Molecule: ribosomal RNA, 164 nt
Filed under: Lobelia tupa
Lineage: Eukaryota; Viridiplantae; Streptophyta; Magnoliopsida; Asterales; Campanulaceae
Description: 5.8S ribosomal RNA
Rfam family: 5.8S ribosomal RNA
About the family: 5.8S ribosomal RNA (5.8S rRNA) is a component of the large subunit of the eukaryotic ribosome. It is transcribed by RNA polymerase I as part of the 45S precursor that also contains 18S and 28S rRNA. Functionally, it is thought that 5.8S rRNA may be involved in ribosome translocation.
Source: RNAcentral